AUGCCCACUUUGGCAGCACGUAUACUAACAGUGGAACAAUACUGAGAAGAUUAGCACGGCCCCUGCAUAAGGAUGACAUGCAAAUUCGUGAAGCAUUCCAUAUUUAU
Molecule: small nuclear RNA, 107 nt
Organism: Vombatus ursinus (common wombat)
Lineage: Eukaryota; Metazoa; Chordata; Mammalia; Diprotodontia; Vombatidae
Source: Ensembl